Long non-coding RNA from Microtus oregoni (creeping vole), 365 nucleotides. RefSeq lists it as uncharacterized. The transcript has 4 exons. The record is from RefSeq and is a predicted model, not a curated record. Lineage: Eukaryota; Metazoa; Chordata; Mammalia; Rodentia; Cricetidae.
CCGGAAGGAGAGAGACUUGGGACCAUUCUGCCUCCUCCUGUGCUGUUCUGUACAGGGCUGUGCUGGAGCCAUUGUCCAGGAGGGGAGUUGUCGGAGAGUGAGCAGGAGGGAAAUGAGGCCAAAUGAGCACUCUGUGAUCCCGACUUCCCACUCUAUAUUUGAUUCCAGAAUGAACUCACUUCUUCCUUCGAGACAAAGAGGGUCUUACCCAAGCCUCAUUCAAGAGAUUCACUAGGAGGGAAGAGUCCAGGAGGUGGCUGACCCUGCAAGAGUGGGAAAGGCAGCUCCCAACUGAACAGGAUCAGGGUGUGCUGCUUUGGACAGAAAGGGGUGUUGUUUCUCCUAGAAACAGAUAUGCAGUCCAU